GAAAAUCUUAAUUUUGACACUUUAUUUCCUCAAGUGAUUGAAGAGGUGAAAGUAGCACUCAUUAAUAUAACAGCUGGGUUACCGCAGUGUCUGGAUUCGAAUAAUUUCCCUUCCCUCGGCUGUGAAAAUGAAAUAGACGGCGGAAGUAACGUGAUGUCAAGUGUAACGUAUAUAUCGUGCCUGUUAAAGAAAGUUUGUUUGAAUAAUGAUACGGCUAAUUUAGUUAAAUUCGUAAACUGUCUUGCAAAACUAAGUACAGCUAGAGUACAGUUUGUUUUAGAAGAUGUUAAAAGAAAUGUUACAGCAAAAAUAUCCGAAUGUAUUGGUAGUAUUACUGUCAAUACCCGUAAUAAAUUAAUAAAUUGUAAUUUGAUCGAUUA
Molecule: long non-coding RNA, 380 nt
Organism: Centruroides sculpturatus (bark scorpion)
Lineage: Eukaryota; Metazoa; Arthropoda; Arachnida; Scorpiones; Buthidae
Exons: 2
Source: RefSeq, a predicted model, not a curated record